RNAcentral lists this ribosomal RNA (440 nucleotides) under uncultured bacterium. Its description in RNAcentral is "partial 16S ribosomal RNA". It matches the Rfam family "Bacterial small subunit ribosomal RNA", at positions 338 to 795 of the family's 1533-position model. The record is from RNAcentral.
CCUACGGGAGACAGCAGUGGGGGAUAUUGCACAAUGGGGGAAACCCUGAUGCAGCCACGCCGCGUGUGGGAAGAAGGCCUUCGGAUUGUAAACCUCUGUUUGUAGUGAAGAUAAUUACGGUAACUAAGCAGUAAUCUCCGGCUAACUACGUUCCAGCAGCCGCGGUAAUACGGAGGCAGCAAGCGUUAUCCGGAUUUACUGGGGGUAAAGGGUGCGUAGACGGUCUGGCAAGUCAGGCGUGAAAGCCAUAGGCUCAACCUGAGGACUGCAUUUGAAACUGUGCGGCUGGAGUGAAGUAGAGGUAGGCGGAAUUCCUGGUGUAGCGGUGAAAUGCGUAGAGAUCAGGAGGAACACCAAUGGCGAAGGCAGCCUACUAGGCUGUAACUGACGCUGAGGCUCGAAAGCAUGGGUAGCAAACAGGAUUAGAUACCCUUGUAGUC